This 1116-nucleotide long non-coding RNA is filed under the name Equus caballus (horse). RNAcentral describes it as "lncRNA (ENSECAG00000056455.1)". The record is from RNAcentral. Lineage: Eukaryota; Metazoa; Chordata; Mammalia; Perissodactyla; Equidae.
GCUGUAUGAGUGGAGAGUGCCCCCUCCAGCUGACCUGUGUGCAGUUUUACACAGCAGAGGUGACUGGGGCCUGGGAACCACUGCUGAGGUGAGAGGAAAACAUCAUACCCAGCGAUGAGUGCUGCAGCCCGUCGGAGGACACGCGCCUGAGAUUGAUACCCAAGGCUCAGCUCGUUCAGCAUGACGGGACUGCGGUGUCCACAGCCAUGGAAAGCUUGAGAGGUAAAGUGUCCUUGGAUGAACGAGGAAUGAGCCACACACACACACACACACACACACACACAGCGAGAUUAUGGAGGCUUCAUGCCUUGAUGUUCUAUAAAACGGUAAAUUAAUGUGCACAUGGUUUCAAAAGUAGACUAGGACUUCAGUCUGAGAGGGAACGGAAGUUGAGGUGACCUUACUGUGAAGAAGGGGCUGCUUCCACCCCCGGCAGGCAGCCUCGGAUGAGAUGAGCUGGGCUCUGGCAUGGGUGUCGUCUCCAGCAUUUAGCCGAGCGUGUAGUUACACAUCCUUGCUGAUUUCAUCUCAUUUUGUUUUCUUGGAUGGAACUUCAGGCUGCUGCAUGAAAAUUACAUGUUAGUGGUGGGAAGAAGAAACAAACCCAAAAAAGCAGCUUUCUUGUCUCGCUCUCAGUAGGAGAGAGGUCCUAGGGAGUCUGAAACGGCUCCUUCCUGCUUUGCUGGCAGUUGUCAACUUAUUGAUUACUUGUUCGGAGGAGAAAAUAGUUGACAAAAGACACUCUCUCCCAAAUUCUGUGCUGUUCAAUAAAACAAAUCCCACUGUGGGGGUGGGCCGCUGUGUGCAGUGCCGGUCUCGUCAGCCUCCCGCGGGCCCUUGAAAACGGGCUUCCACCGCCAGGAGCACCGAGGAGGAAGGACCCCAAUGCAGCAGGAUUCCACAGCCUGACUCACGGUCCCGGUGUUUUCACGGACCCCCGGAGAAAACCUCUCCAACAGGGACCCACAGUGGGGAGGCUGUUGGGUAUGCGGUUCCAUAUUGUCCCCGGGGGUUCUCAGGGACCUUUGGCAACUCUUCGUUUUCUCCUCAGAGUUUCUUGGCCAUUUCCAAGUCCUGAGGACAAGUGCGUCCACAUUCAAAGGACGGACGUUCGCC